Molecule: ribosomal RNA, 480 nt
Filed under: uncultured bacterium
Lineage: Bacteria
Description: bacterial SSU rRNA
Rfam family: Bacterial small subunit ribosomal RNA
Source: RNAcentral
GACGAACGCUGGCGGCGUGCUUAACACAUGCAAGUCGAACGGUGAACCAGAGCUUGCUCUGGGGAUCAGUGGCGAACGGGUGAGUAACACGUGGGCAACCUGCCCCAGACUCUGGGAUAACCUCGGGAAACCGAUGCUAAUACCGGAUACGACCACUUCGGACAUCCGACGGUGGUGGAAAGUUUUUCGGUCUGGGAUGGGCCCGCGGCCUAUCAGCUAGUUGGUGGGGUAAUGGCCUACCAAGGCGACGACGGGUAGCCGGCCUGAGAGGGCGACCGGCCACACUGGAACUGAGACACGGUCCAGACUCCUACGGGAGGCAGCAGUGGGGAAUAUUGCACAAUGGGCGAAAGCCUGGUGCAGCGACGCCGCGUGAGGGACGACGGCCUUCGGUGUAACUCUUCUAGCAGGACGAAGCGAAAGUAGACUGUACCUGCAGAAGAAGACACCGGACUAACUACGUGCCAGCAGCCGCGGUAA